AUUGAACGCUGGCGGAAUGCUUUACACAUGCAAGUCGAACGGCAGCACGGAGAGCUUGCUCUCUGGUGGCGAGUGGCGAACGGGUGAGUAAUAUAUCGGAACGUGUCCAAUAAUGGGGGAUAACGAGUCGAAAGAUUCGCUAAUACCGCAUACGCCCUACGGGGGAAAGCAGGGGAUCGUAAGACCUUGCGUUAAUGGAGCGGCCGAUAUCUGAUUAGCUAGUUGGUGAGGUAAAGGCUCACCAAGGCGACGAUCAGUAGCUGGUUUGAGAGAACGACCAGCCACACUGGAACUGAGACACGGUCCAGACUCCUACGGGAGGCAGCAGUGGGGAAUUUUGGACAAUGGGGGCAACCCUGAUCCAGCCAUUCCGCGUGAGUGAAGAAGGCCUUCGGGUUGUAAAGCUCUUUCGCAAGGGAAGAAAACUUAUGAUCGAAUAAAUCAUGAGGUUGACGGUACCUUGAUAAGAAGCACCGGCUAACUACGUGCCAGCCGCCGCAGUAA
This 504-nucleotide ribosomal RNA is filed under the name uncultured bacterium. RNAcentral's name for it is "partial 16S ribosomal RNA". It matches the Rfam family "Bacterial small subunit ribosomal RNA", at positions 30 to 523 of the family's 1533-position model. The record is from RNAcentral.